RNAcentral lists this ribosomal RNA (120 nucleotides) under Helianthus annuus (common sunflower). Lineage: Eukaryota; Viridiplantae; Streptophyta; Magnoliopsida; Asterales; Asteraceae. The record is from RNAcentral.
AGUUGUGAUCAUACCAACACUAAUGCACCGGAUCUCAUCAGAACUCCGCAGUUAAUCGUGCUUGUGCGAGAGUGGUACUAGGAUUGGUGACCCCUUGGGAAGUCCUCGUGUUGCAACCUU